AAUGCGAUAAGUAAUGUGAAUUGCAGAUUUUCAGUGAAUCAUCGAAUCUUUGAACGCACCUUGCGCUCCUUGGUAUUCCGAGGAGCAUGCCUGUUUGAGUGUCAUCU
This 107-nucleotide ribosomal RNA is filed under the name Byssocorticium pulchrum. Its description in RNAcentral is "partial 5.8S ribosomal RNA". It matches the Rfam family "5.8S ribosomal RNA", at positions 52 to 154 of the family's 154-position model. Rfam says of the family: 5.8S ribosomal RNA (5.8S rRNA) is a component of the large subunit of the eukaryotic ribosome. It is transcribed by RNA polymerase I as part of the 45S precursor that also contains 18S and 28S rRNA. Functionally, it is thought that 5.8S rRNA may be involved in ribosome translocation. Lineage: Eukaryota; Fungi; Basidiomycota; Agaricomycetes; Atheliales; Atheliaceae. The record is from RNAcentral.